RNAcentral lists this ribosomal RNA (441 nucleotides) under uncultured bacterium. RNAcentral describes it as "bacterial SSU rRNA". It matches the Rfam family "Bacterial small subunit ribosomal RNA", at positions 958 to 1401 of the family's 1533-position model. The record is from RNAcentral.
AACGCGAAGAACCUUACCCAGGUUUGACAUGCAGCAGACAGCGCCAGAGAUGGCGUCUUACUUCGGUACUGCUGCACAGGUGCUGCAUGGCUGUCGUCAGCUCGUGCCGUGAGGUGUUGGGUUAAGUCCCGCAACGAGCGCAACCCUUAUCACUAGUUGCCAGCACGUUAUGGUGGGAACUCUAGUGAGACUGCCCGGGUUAACCGGGAGGAAGGUGAGGAUGACGUCAAGUCCGCAUGGCCCUUAUGUCUGGGGCUACACACGUGCUACAAUGGCCGGUACAAUAGGCAGCGAAGCCGCGAGGUGGAGCAAAUCCCUAAAACCGGUCCCAGUUCGGAUUGUAGUCUGCAACUCGACUACAUGAAGUUGGAAUUGCUAGUAAUGGCGAGUCAGCAACAUCGCCGUGAAUACGUUCCCGGGCCUUGUACACACCGCUACAGU